AACCUGCGGAGGGAUCAUUACUGAGUGAGGGCUCACGCCCGACCUCCAACCCUUUGUGAACACAUCUUGUUGCUUCGGGGGCGACCCUGCCGGCACUACGUCGCCGGGCGCCCCCGAAGGUCUCCAAACACUGCAUCUUUGCGUCGGAGUUUAAAACAAAUUAAACAAAACUUUCAACAACGGAUCUCUUGGUUCUGGCAUCGAUGAAGAACGCAGCGAAAUGCGAUAAGUAAUGUGAAUUGCAGAAUUCAGUGAAUCAUCGAAUCUUUGAACGCACAUUGCGCCCUUUGGUAUUCCGAAGGGCAUGCCUGUUCGAGCGUCAUUUCACCACUCAAGCCUGGCUUGGUAUUGGGCGUCGCGGCUCCGCGCGCCUUAAAGUCUCCGGCUGAGCCAUUCGUCUCUAAGCGUUGUGGAUUUUCUAAUUCGCUUCGGAGUGCGGGUGGCCGCGGCCGUUAAAUCUUUAUUCAAAGGUUGACCUCGGAUCAGGUAGGGAUA
RNAcentral lists this ribosomal RNA (495 nucleotides) under Pseudocercospora crousii. Its description in RNAcentral is "eukaryotic LSU rRNA". The stretch from base 169 to 322 matches the Rfam family "5.8S ribosomal RNA". The record is from RNAcentral. RNAcentral also lists the same sequence under 1 other name. Lineage: Eukaryota; Fungi; Ascomycota; Dothideomycetes; Mycosphaerellales; Mycosphaerellaceae.